UAGGGAAUCUUCCGCAAUGGACGAAAGUCUGACGGAGCAACGCCGCGUGAGUGAUGAAGGUUUUCGGAUCGUAAAACUCUGUUGUUAGGGAAGAACAAGUACCGUUCGAAUAGGGCGGUACCUUGACGGUACCUAACCAGAAAGCCACGGCUAACUACGUGCCAGCAGCCGCGGUAAU
This 178-nucleotide ribosomal RNA is filed under the name uncultured Bacillus sp. RNAcentral describes it as "partial 16S ribosomal RNA". It matches the Rfam family "Bacterial small subunit ribosomal RNA", at positions 355 to 524 of the family's 1533-position model. The record is from RNAcentral. Lineage: Bacteria; Bacillati; Bacillota; Bacilli; Caryophanales; Bacillaceae.